CACGUAGUUAGCCGUGGCUUAUUCCUAUAGUACCGUCACUUCUUCGUCCUAUAGAAAAGAAGUUUACAACCCGAAGGCCUUCUUCCUUCACGCGGCGUUGCUGGGUCAGGCUUGCGCCCAUUGCCCAAUAUUCCCCACUGCUGCCUCCCGUAGGAGUCUGGGCCGUGUCUCAGUCCCAAUGUGGCCGGCCAACCUCUCAGUCCGGCUACUGAUCGUCGCCUUGGUGGGCCGUUACCCCGCCAACCAGCUAAUCAGACGCGAGUCCAUCUCAGAGCGAUAAAUCUUUGAUGUCCAGAACCAUGCGAUUCAGACAUUUCAUGCGGUAUUAGCACAUCUUUCGAUGUGUUAUUCCCCUCUCCAAGGCAGGUUACUCACGCGUUACUCACCCGUCCGCCACUUUCCUCCAGUUCCGUUGGCCGAAGCCUCCUUCCCCGGAUUCUCGUUCGACUUGCAUGUGUUAAGCACGCCGCCAGCGUUCAUCCUGAGCCAGGAUCAAACUCU
RNAcentral lists this ribosomal RNA (501 nucleotides) under uncultured Oscillospiraceae bacterium. RNAcentral describes it as "partial 16S ribosomal RNA". The record is from RNAcentral. Lineage: Bacteria; Bacillati; Bacillota; Clostridia; Eubacteriales; Oscillospiraceae.